AUAAUAAUAAUAAUAAUAAUAAUAAUAAUAAUAAUAGCAGCAGCAGCAGCCAGCUGGGAACUCGUCCUCCUUGUUGGCCCGCAGUCGCUCCCCGUCGGACCCUCAACCGAAGCGCGGUCCGGCUUCUCCACGGAGCCGAUCCUCCCGCCCCUUAGUAAAUCCGAGUAAAAGCUCUUCCAAGGAUCUCCGCCGCGGUUCCGCAACCGGCAGGAAGACGUAGCUGCAACCUGCCCCGCCGAGCAGCCUAGCGGGAAGGGAAGGCGCAGCCCGGAGCCUCGCCAGAGGAAGUCGGGCGGGUGGGCGGACGGACGCGGCGGCGGCGGGCGAGAGGUGCCGCGCCAUCCCCGGGAGAUGUUUCAUGACCCAACUAGGUAAUAUCAUCAGCGAUAAAAGGACUUCUACCACUUGCAGAAACGUCUGCAAGAAAACAGCCAAGCUCAAAAAGCAUCAAGGACCCCACAAAUCACAAAGCUGGACUGGACCCAAAUGUUCCUGAAAUGCGAGAGAGAGGCAGGACUGUUGCUAUAAAAUUCAAAUAUCUGUAUUACGGUCUUCUGCCAUUUUAUUUCCUAAUGCUGCUUAUAUGGGACCACAUCCAUGGCAGUCAAGUGCAUCAGGACAUCCUUGCACAGAUGACUCCAUCUCACUCGGAGUCCUAGUUGACAAUCACCUAAAUAUGAGCCAGCCGUGUGCUGCAGCUGCCAAAAAGGCCAACACAGUGCUAGGCUGCAUUAACAGAGGGAGAGAAUCAAGAUCACAUGAAGUGUUAA
Long non-coding RNA from Crotalus tigris (Tiger rattlesnake), 770 nucleotides. RefSeq lists it as uncharacterized. The record is from RefSeq and is a predicted model, not a curated record. NCBI's taxonomy places the organism in Eukaryota, Metazoa, Chordata, Lepidosauria, Squamata, Viperidae. The transcript has 4 exons.